ACGAACCAAUUAGGGCACAGUUAUCUACACGCAUUGGACGAACAAGAAAUUUGUAGGUUUCAACGGCCAGAUGAAUCGUGGUGUUUAGCUCUGAAAUUGCAAAAUCUAUGGAUCUAAUUUUAAAUUCGAGUUCAGUGAUAAUGUAGACCUCAGAUGAACUAUCGACUCGAUGCAACCAGUUGAAUUACUUCACAGGGGAACUGAAAGCUGAAGGCAGAAAGAACGAAGAAUAGUAAUGCCAGUUUCGUAGAAUUACUUCACAUUGGGAUGGGAAUGAGAUGGAGAUCGUCGCAUGGGUUAUUAUUCGGUGAUGGCGCCUUUCAUCUUGCUUCAGGACUGGAUGUUGGUAAAGUAAUGGAAAUUGAGAACGUCUCAAUUGAAUCCCUCGAGUUAAGUGAGGGAUUUUCUGUCUUCCGACUCAUUUCCAUGGCCAGACAAUCCCUUGUGGUUUAUUUUCGGCCUACUGCUUGAAUUUGAAGACACGCAAGCCGUUGCUAUUUCUACCGAUUUCCAAACGGAGUUGGAGUCGAAUUCCCCUUUUAGUCUUGAGUCGAUUACGUUCCUGAUGUCUCCUUGCGAAAUCAUGGUGGUCGCCCAUUGAAUUAUGUGAACAUUUUGCUGAGCUCUGGAAAUCACUGGUCUGCAAGUAAUUAUCUUCAACAAUACUACUCCGAAGCUAUAAACAUCACUUUUCUCAGUCAGUCGGUUUGAGAUGUAGUAUCUGCAUGUCCGACGUAGAGUAAGAUUUGAGCUGUAUUUAAUCUGUAUCUGUUUCCCUUUGGGUGACUCACGGAGUUUUUGGUUCCUUAGGAAAUUGGUAUGAUUAAUAGUUGGAACUGAAUCUGGUACUUACUCUGGAUCAAAGUAACCAGGAGUGCCAGCCUCAAUUGUGGACAUGUGAGUCUUGCGACCAUCAUUUGGGAAACUCUUGGAGAGUCCGAAAUCUGCAAGUUUUGCUUGUAAAUUGUCUGUUAGCAAGAUGUUUGUUGUUUUGACAUCUCUGUGGACCAUGGGUGGCUGACAACCAUGAUGCAGGUCACACUUACCUCUGUUUGAAAUUGCUGAUAACUGUGAGCUGAUAGUGGAGAUAGCAUCUUUACAGCUACUUGAACAUCAUCUGUAACUUUAUGAUCCAAAAGAUAACUGCAGCCACUAUGAGGACGCCAAACAAUCCACCAACUGACACCACAACAGGUACAACGAAACUUUUCUUCUUCCCCUUUGCACACGAGUCUGAGGCGCAUGCACCAUCAAGAUUUGGAUUAUCUUCCACACUGUCGUAAAAGCAUAUCAUUAGAAGAUGGGCUGGAACCUUUUUUGUUCAAUAUAUUCUUCAAUGUUAUUUUGAAGUAUCCAGACUAAAAAAAAAAACACUGUGGUAUAUUCCACUUAGAACAGAUCUUAAUUUUAGUGAACCAUUAUUCACAUUUUUUUUGGAGUUCAGGUGGAAGUGGACCGGUGAGGUUGUUUUUUGUCUAACUUUCUGUGAAGGGUAAAAAAAAAUCGUUUUUGUCUAAUUUUCCAAGUAAAUUACAUGACUUUGAGGCUUUUCAUAUUGGCCAAGAAAUCAGGUACAUUUCCUGAUAGGCUAUUACUCGACAAGUCUCUGAAAACAAAA
Molecule: long non-coding RNA, 1618 nt
Organism: Cucumis sativus (cucumber)
Lineage: Eukaryota; Viridiplantae; Streptophyta; Magnoliopsida; Cucurbitales; Cucurbitaceae
Exons: 2
Source: RefSeq, a predicted model, not a curated record